RNAcentral lists this long non-coding RNA (602 nucleotides) under Mus musculus (house mouse). RNAcentral's name for it is "RIKEN cDNA 4930594A02 gene". Lineage: Eukaryota; Metazoa; Chordata; Mammalia; Rodentia; Muridae. The record is from RNAcentral.
AAAACCAUAGUGGGGAGUCCGGUGGUAGCAGGUACGCAGAAAGGAGCAUGUUGUCCUCUGAGAGGCUUUACCCAGCAACUAACUCAGACAGAUACAGGCACCCACAGUCAAACAGUGGAUGAAGCUUGGAGGCUCUUAUGGAAGAAUAGAAGGAAGGAUUUCUGGCCCCCUGAAGGAUAGGAGUUCCACAGGAAGACAGAGUCAAUUAAUCUUGUCCCAUGGAUUUCUGAGAGUCUGAACCACCAGACAAAGAACAUACAUGGGCUGGACCUAGGUCUCCCCUCGCAUAUGUAGCAGAUGGGCAGUUUGACCUUCGUGUGGGUCCUGAACAACUGGAGAGGGGCUAUCCCAAAAACUGUUGCCUGUAUAUAGGAUAUGGACUUCUAGCUGGGCUGCCUUGUCUGGCCUCAGUAGGAGAAGCAUCUAGCCUCACAGAAACUUAAACUGGUGGCAGGGGGUGGGGGUCGUAGCCAGGGGGCCCUACCCACUAAGAGGAGAAAGGGGGAUGAAGAAGGAUUGUGGGAAGGGGUGACCAGGAGAGUGGUAGUGAGCAGGAUGUAAAGUGAAUAAGUAAAAAAUAAAUAAAUAAAAAUGCUAGCCAG